This is a long non-coding RNA of Homo sapiens (human), 783 nucleotides long. RefSeq lists it as uncharacterized. The transcript has 2 exons. The record is from RefSeq and is a predicted model, not a curated record. NCBI's taxonomy places the organism in Eukaryota, Metazoa, Chordata, Mammalia, Primates, Hominidae.
AAAAACCAAAAAACGUAGUAUCUAAAAGGUAGGGCACCAAUAUCAAAUUGCAACUGUACUGGCCAUAUGCAAUGUAGAGCACCAAUAUCAGAUCGCAACUGUACUGGCCAUAUGCAAUGUAGUCUUUUUCUCCAGGUUUCCCCUCUCUUCUAGGCUGGACAAUGGAGGAGGCUUGAAACAGUAGCUGGCAAGUGGUAGAAGAGAUGGAGCAGAGAAGCAAGAAGAAGCAGACUCCUCACUCCUUCACCAGGGUGGAUUUGCUGGUUUGAAGCAGACCUGAGUUGGGAGAGGAGAGAGGCGAGAAGUUUUAAUUGGAUGAAAUAUUUCUUUAGACUGGUCUAUACUUUUUUCUUUAUAUCUAAAAUUCACUGGAAGAGCUAUGAAAUCUGUCCAAGAUUUCGUUCAGUUCAGGAAAAACCAAAACCAAAACCAUAACCACCAGGUAAUACACAUGUGACUCAGAUGCCACCAAAGAAGUAUGUGUCCAAGACCUCAAGUUGAAAGCUGUGGACUGCGGAGGGACUCUCUGGUGAAGUUGUUGCAAGCAUGAUUAAUUCAUUGGGGCAGCAAUGGCAGCCAAGCCAGUGGUGGUAUCCUGUGUCCAGGAGUGGUAUUGGUGAUUCAGUUUGCAGCCUCUGAGGUACAAGGAUAAGGAAAAUGGUGACCAGAUCAGUUUUGCUGCCUCAGAUUAGACAUAAUUUCAAGCUGUAUAUCUCUAAUCCUCCUAAUAAUUCUAUGACCUACAUGAUAUCCUUUAAAUAAAUGACUUAUCAUUUAAAAUAA